UGAAUAUUUUUCUUCUCUCCAGCUGUUGCAUUUAUCGAGUAACUAGAUGGUCAUGACUUGGCUGAUCCAUUCCUUAAUCAAAUUUGGAAAGCAACAAGCAUUUGAUAAAUUGCUAGUUAAAAUUUUGAAAAUUAUGGCUAUCGAUUUCUAUUGAAGAAGACCUAAAAACUUCCAAUGAAUAUGGAUGUGCAUAUCUUCACAGCUGUGUAUAUGCUUGCGCACGCGUGUGUAAUGUGUAACCUCAUUGUUUGCUUGUGAUAAGGUUUGCCCGUGCUGUAUAUGAUUGUGUGAUAAGGUAAUUAUUGAUAAUGUGCAUUUGAUACCUCGGUACUUCUGGCAAUGAUUUGACUGUAGAAAUCACACGGUACAGUAGUAGUUUGUACAGUAGUUGCACAGCAUUAUGUGUUUGUGAUCAUGUUGGAGUGCCAGAUGUAAAAACAACUAGCUUGAAAGCAUAAAGCAAAGCAUCUAUCCCACCAUCCAACAACUUCUAAGUUUCGCAGUCUUUGUGAGGGUUCAAUUUAAUAUUAAUUUCGGUACUAGGAUUUUACUGCAUGCAGGAGCUAGAUUCCUUUUGACCGACUCUAUAGAAGAAAAUUCAUUUUUGACUAAAUUUCUUGAUGGAAUUCCUGUAUUGAGGGAAUAUUCAUGUCACCAACAUGAUUACUUGCAAGCUCACAAUUACUAUGCCGUGCAUAUUCAUGUCACCAACUAGGGAAGGCAUAUCACCUGAGACACAAGGAGGAAUACGUUCCUGAUUUCUUGCAUUUUCCUUUCAUGGUUGCAUGAGUGGCAAAAUUUUUUAACAUCAGCUUUAUGAUACAUUUUCUUGGAUUCUUGUUAGGAUGAGUGUUUUUGAUGCGUACACCUCCCAAAAUACACUAAAAUUAGAUUUCAAUGGUUUGCAACUUGACCCAACAAGAAUCUAUCUUGGAGAACCAAAGUUAUUCACAAUAAUCACCCUCACCUUAUGCCUAUAAGAGACGUGAACGAGUAGUAUAAAAACACAACAAAA
Populus nigra (black poplar) is the source of this 1015-nucleotide long non-coding RNA. RefSeq lists it as uncharacterized. NCBI's taxonomy places the organism in Eukaryota, Viridiplantae, Streptophyta, Magnoliopsida, Malpighiales, Salicaceae. The record is from RefSeq and is a predicted model, not a curated record. The transcript has 2 exons.